UGUUUUUAUUUUUGUUCCUCAGAGAAAGACACAACUCCGUAAACAUCAAAAAGGCAAUUGGACUUUCUCUGUGGCCGCUCAAGCCAACAAGAGCUAGCAAAUUUUCUAACAUGGACUCACUUCACUUUGAUACUGAGUAAUAAGCUCACAGGCCGGCAGAGAUAGCUAACAUUAGGAGCCUUGUUAAGUUAAGCCUUAAAGGCAUGUAGAAAGAGAUCUGGAUGCAGCGUCAGAGGCAGGGACCCAUUGAUUCCCAUAAAAAUUGCAAAGUGAUGCAUGAAGCCAAAAAAGUUUGACUUCCAGGUAUAAAAUUACCCUAGCAUUUCCUUAAACCCCGCCUCCCAAAUAGUUGGUCAGGCUCGCUAAGUCUGGAUUUGGCUGUAAGGGAAUUUUACAACUUUUCAGACAUUAUGAUUUAAAUAAGGGCUAUUUAAGUGUUCGUACUGGGAUGUUGAUGUACCAAUGUCAGUGUACAGUGUAUUUACAGUAGAAGCCUCUAGUUGGUUGAUUCAGAAUUAAUUUAGCAUUGUUGAUCAAAUUAACAGGAAUUUAAUUCUCAGAAUCUGGUAGCAGUUGUUGAGCUUGCUAGCUUAGGAGGCAGGGACCUGAAAGGUGAGAGAGCAGUGAGAGGGCAGUGACAACACACCUGUCAUGAAAAGUGACAUUAUGAAAUAAAACCUGAGAUGAAAUUUCAAGACUUUUGAAAAAGGGCAUUUUGAAAUGUAUGUUCCGGAUCAUCUUAAAUUUGGGGGACUAUGUAUGAAAAAGGGACCUACACUGUUCACAUAAUAUGGACAAGGUUAAUUUCCAUCUCUAUAAAUCACCAUCAAGCACUGAGUGUUUUCUCCAUAUCUUGCUGUCCAAAAUAACCCUUUCCCUUUUCUUGUUUAGCUCUUUUUAGCUCGAUCCAUACCAACUCCUGAGGGAGAUAUUUCGUUCUCUCUUUAGCUGCUAAAUUCUCCAUAUGUUCACCAGCUAGCUCGUUCAGUCUGCCGUUUGGUACUGAGCAGGUAGAGGUUGGAGCUAUUUCGCUGAAAACAGCUGCCUGCUAUAGCUGAAACAACGCUAUGAGAGCAGUGAGAGUGAACCAGAACAGUAAAGUUGCAAGCAGGACAGCUAAACAUGAGCUGAAGGUCACAAGAAAGCUCUGUUAAGUCGAGGAACUGCAGAUUCAGGUGUUUAUGAAGUCUGAGGGGGCCAUUGGGAACCCAGUCGACUGGACUGUGUCUGAUGUGGUCAGUUAUUUCACAGCAGCAGGUUUCCCCGAGCAGGCUACUGCCUUCAGGACCCAGGAAAUCGAUGGCAAGUCUCUUCUCCUCAUGCAGCGAAACGAUGUUUUGACUGGCCUGUCAAUCAAACUCGGCCCCGCCCUCAAGAUCUAUGAGCGUCAUGUAAAGGUUCUGCAGAAAACGCACUUUGAGGAUGAGGACUGCUAACAACAAACACAUGAAAUACACACAAAGACUGUUAUGUUUGUAUUUACAUAUAGCUAAAGUAAUUCUAUAAAAAUGUAUGCAUGAUAUACACUUUUCAUCUUAUGUCAAACACACACACACACACACACACACACACACACACACCUCUGUUUCUCUUCCACAUGGCCCUCUAUGGCUGGUCCAGAAAGGACACGCAGAUAUGAGACUAGAUUUCCUGGACAACAAUGGUUUUCUACCAAAGAGAGCACAAAUGUUGGAGGGAGAAAGUAGACUCAUAACAUUUUAAGCAGAGGUUUAAAAAAAAAAGAAAGAAAGCACUUUGCAAUUUCUCAAUUAAACUGUGCAAGAUGUUUUGUUUUUUAGCUGUUUUUUUUUUGCGCUGACCUUUUUGCACAUUUUGAAAGUGUAUUCUGUGUGGAUGUAAAUUUGGGUUGGAUUUUGAGGCCGUGAUGCAAGCGUUUCUCAGUUGUGGGUGUGUGUUUGUCAUGUCAUGUGCGUGUACAGUACUGUAUGUGUGUGAAGGCUUGACAGAGCAUGUUGGAUUGAACAGAAACAAAUUAGGAGUUGACCAGAUUAAAUACAUUCCCAGGAGCGGGAGUGGAUGUUUGGGAUACUGACCCAUCAUAGUCGUCCUAUAGGUCUAAAUAACAUCUGGGUUUGAGACAGCGUGCAAAUGUUCUUUAGUCAAAGCAAUAAGCUGAUUAUUCCCCCCUAGAUGAUCGAGAGGGAUCUUGUCAGCUCUUACAUCUGCAGGUGGUUGACUUUGUGUAGCUUAAUGUUUCAGAUGAAAAUCCAUGACGUAGACUUGUUCAUAAUGUUUUGAAACAGCAUCACCACAUCAGGUGCCGGUUUCACAAAGCUAGAUCUAACUAGUCAGACUUCAGAUAAACAAAACUCUCAAGUUCUUAAGUAGGACUCAUUUGCAAUGGAUUUUGGACAAAUUAAGACCUUUUUUCAUACUAAAAAAACAUGGCUGACUCAUGCUCAGCUCCGUGCACUCCAGCAGAAAAUGUUUUGUGGAUGGAUUCAGCAUUUAUAAGGUUAUUUCUUUCUGGGGAAAUUCAGCAAAGAGUGCAACUAUACAACAAUAUCGAUUAGAAUAAAGACACAUGUAGCAGAGCCGAGGUGCUGUGGUUUCUUCAUAUAGCAGGACUUCUGCUAACUCGUCAGUCAGACUCAGGAUAGUUUAUUUGGACAAAUGAAAACGACUGACAAUGUUUUCACUGCUGCAUUUCUUAAAAGCUCCUUCCCUUAUUAUUACUCGCUCCACAACAUAGUUAGCAAACCACAAAUUAUGAGCUAUGUUUUCCUCUAUAUUUUUUGUCAUUUGGUGCUAUUGGUCAGCAGGUGUCACUGAAUGUUGCCAUGCAAACAUGGCUUUUAGUUCAGAGUUUGUCCAGCCUUGUGGAUGGGUGGCUAACGUUUUAGCCUAUAAACGUUUAACUUGCAUUAGACUAAUCUGAGAGCAGAAGUAACACCGGCCUAUGCUACAGACCAGUGUGAAAUAUCUGCAGACAUGCUGAUCAAACGCUCCAGCUAACUGAACUGAAAUCAGCACAUCAAUCAACUCUCAACUAGAUGUAAUAGAGUGAAAUAUUGUAAAUAUAUUGAAAAUAAGUCCAUUUAAUGCAUCAGCCUCCGUUUGUAAAUGAUUGAAAAACAAUUAUCUAACUGACAGAUGUUAUCGCAGGGUAAAGCUGAGUCAAUCAAUCAACUAAUCUCAUACCACCAGCAUUUUUUAACUGUUUGUACCAGUCAAACCUUAGAAACCAAAUGCUGUUAAAGGAUGACACAUCUCACUCCCACCUCCACAUUCCAGGUUUGGCAUCUCCCUCUGUGCAUGCAUUAUGAAAACUACUCUUUUGUAUGUUCUGUUUUCAGCAUUUUUGGUCUCAUUUUGUGAAUGUUUUAAUCCCCUCUCCAGUCACUAAUGUCCAAACCAACGCUUCUUUGUGCAUUCAAAACUCCUCUACCUCUCUUCCCUCCGUUUCCCCUUCGCUUUCACUUUCUUUGCAACUAUUUUCAGGUUCUUACAGUUAGUUGAAGGUGUAUUUUGCACUUGUUUGUUGCUACUGUUAGCAUUCAGUUCAUUUCAUUUUCAUUAAUUGAAUUUGUCGGAGAGGACAGCUGUGUUCAGUUUCUCGCAAAGGGGAUGUACAGUGCGUCUAUGCCUGUGUUGCUAGGUUAUUUGUUAAAGGGCAACUUUAGUAAUAAAAUUUUCAAUUAAAACACCA
Molecule: long non-coding RNA, 3670 nt
Organism: Micropterus dolomieu (smallmouth bass)
Lineage: Eukaryota; Metazoa; Chordata; Actinopteri; Centrarchiformes; Centrarchidae
Exons: 3
Source: RefSeq, a predicted model, not a curated record